UGAAAUGGAAAAUCCAAGAGUUAAUGUGCCCAGCAAUUCACACUUCUUAAGAUGUUUAAGACUUUUUAAAAGUCUAAGCUAUGACAAGACAGGGCUCAUGCGUAUUUCAGAUGAGAAGUUGGAUAUCUUUUCCAGGGUGCUGUUGUGGCAGGUCUCCAGCUCACAGAUAAGCCUGGUGAGGGACCACAUCUGUUGCACACUUCUAGUAUGGGGACCCUCACCUGGCAGAUGUCCAGUGAGCUGGUUUGGGGUUUAGCUCUGCACUCAGCUGAAGGGAAAACUUAACAGAGCGCUCGGCCGCACUCUCUCCUUGCUCGUGAAUUCAGGUUCAGACAUGCAUUUGCAUCUGCAGGCAGGAGUCAGGGAGCCAGGAAAAGCAGAAUCCAUCCAAAAGAAACAAUUCCUGGCAAAAAGGAGUUGGCUGUCUCCAAAUGGGUCUCAUUUUCAGUGUGUGUUUGGUCAUGGCUUCUUUAAGAGGAGGCAGCAGUUUUUGAGAGAAGCAUGGAAGUAGGAAGGAGACAGCACACUGGGGGUUAAGUUAGGACUCCAUUUUCUCCUCUCACUCUGUUCCAGGUCAUUUGACUAGAGGAAACUUUGACUUCCUGUUAGCCACUGCCCCAAAAUCCUCUGUGCUCUGCCUAUUCCUCCUUCCUACCCUCCUAAAUGGUGGCAGGCACUGAUCUUUUUACUCUCUCCAUAGUUUCGCCUUUUCCAGAAUGUCAUAU
RNAcentral lists this long non-coding RNA (725 nucleotides) under Pan troglodytes (chimpanzee). Its description in RNAcentral is "long non-coding RNA NONPTRT015280". Lineage: Eukaryota; Metazoa; Chordata; Mammalia; Primates; Hominidae. The record is from RNAcentral.